UCAGAAUGCCACGGUGAAUACGUUCCCGGGCCUUGUACACACCGCCCGUCACACCAUGGGAGUGGGUUGCAAAAGAAGUAGGUAGCUUAACCUUCGGGAGGGCGCUUACCACUUUGUGAUUCAUGACUGGGGUGAAGUCGUAACAAGGUAACCGUAGGGGAACCUGCGGUUGGAUCACCUCCUUA
This 185-nucleotide ribosomal RNA is filed under the name Escherichia coli. RNAcentral's name for it is "partial 16S ribosomal RNA". It matches the Rfam family "Bacterial small subunit ribosomal RNA", at positions 1349 to 1533 of the family's 1533-position model. Lineage: Bacteria; Pseudomonadati; Pseudomonadota; Gammaproteobacteria; Enterobacterales; Enterobacteriaceae. RNAcentral also lists the same sequence under 13 other names. The record is from RNAcentral.